UACGGGGGGGGCAAGCGUUGUUCGGAUUUACUGGGCGUAAAGCGCACGUAGGCGGGUCGUUAAGUCAGGGGUGAAAUCCCGGAGCUCAACUCCGGAACUGCCUUUGAUACUGGCGAUCUCGAGUCCGGGAGAGGUGAGUGGAACUGCGAGUGUAGAGGUGAAAUUCGUAGAUAUUCGCAAGAACACCAGUGGCGAAGGCGGCUCACUGGCCCGGUACUGACGCUGAGGUGCGAAAGCGUGGGGAGCGAACAGG
This 253-nucleotide ribosomal RNA is filed under the name uncultured bacterium. RNAcentral describes it as "partial 16S ribosomal RNA". It matches the Rfam family "Bacterial small subunit ribosomal RNA", at positions 524 to 776 of the family's 1533-position model. The record is from RNAcentral.